GCAGGGACAUAUCCAUGAUUACGUACCGAAUAUUUUUGGUAUUUUAGGGGGCAAACAACAGCAUUUGGCACAGUUUAGAAAUAUGAUUCAGCUAGUCAACAUUCUAAGUCCAAGAGGGGUCCAUUGGCAUGAUUAUUUUUACAGAAAUCAAGGGGAGGAGUCAGGACUCCCCUGACAACCCCUUAAUCUGCCACUGGAAGGGUACAGAAAACUGUACAUGUACCAUCAGAUGUGCAAAGAGUCUUAGAUAAGAAGGACAGAAAAUAUGAGAACUUGAUAUCAAGGUUGCUGUUUCAGCAUGCUGCAGUUACUUGUGGAGAUGAAAUUCAGUUUUGUGGUUGGUUGAAGAAGACACACAGCGAGGAGAAAGCUUGGCAAAAAGUCACAGAAGUAAAGCAAGGGUUGUAAGCCCGGAGCACAGUGAACAGGUGUAUGCAGAUAAAAGAGUGAGUGCUGUUGUGGUGGCAACUCCAGCAGCAACUCACGAAGAAAUAAUACAGAAGUCUUUAAAAGCAGGCAAAGCUGUGUUUUGUGAGAAACCAAUAGAUGUUAGCUGGAAAGUUGUCCGACGGCUUUAUGACGAGGCAGAACAAGCUGGAAAACCUCUCCAGUGUGGCUUUAAUAGGAGGUAUGAUCCCCAGCUUCGACACCUCCAAAGAAGACUUCAAAGUGGUGAGAUAGGCAAGCCUAUGAUGGCCAAGACAUGCUCUAGAGAUGCCUGCCCGGACAUGGCGUCUGCAGCAGCAUAUUCUGCAGCGCAUGGUGGCUACUUCCUGGACAGUACUGUCCACGACAUAGAUGUGAUGUGUUGGCUGCUGGGAGAACACCCUAUCAGCGUCUCGUGUACUG
Lingula anatina is the source of this 849-nucleotide long non-coding RNA. The record is from RefSeq and is a predicted model, not a curated record. NCBI's taxonomy places the organism in Eukaryota, Metazoa, Brachiopoda, Lingulata, Lingulida, Lingulidae.